GUGAAUAUAGACGCAUAAAGCAUCCAGCUUCAUGCCAUGUGACCCCUCCCCCUUGUAAAUUUUUGGUUCCUAUAGAACGUGUUGUCCAAGAGCACUCCCCUCCUUUCAUCCUUCUUCGUUGAAGACUAAAACAUUGGCUGACAGCUCCAAGCGAGGCAAGGGAUGUCAGCAACCUCUGGCAGCAACGAGCAACGGGUGAAAACGCAAGGAGAGAGAAGGCCAAAGCAGCAACUUCCGACAUCAUUUCGACUAAUUCUGGUGCCUUUUUUUGGUGAUUUCAACAGUGCUAAACCACUUUCUCAGGUGUGUAUCUUUUAGAUGCCACCAAUUUCACCUAAAAUGAUGGAUGAAGGAAAGAAAGAUGAGAGGGAGAGAGAAGGUAAGAGAGGGAAGAGAGAGAAGAGGGGUUGUAACGGGGAAACCGGUUGAAAAAGGAAGGACAAUUUUUUUAAAACAAAAUUAAAAUGGAAAGAUUUUAUUUUAAUAAAUUAAACAAUUCCUAAUGUAAUUUAUUCAGC
RNAcentral lists this unclassified non-coding RNA (518 nucleotides) under Hevea brasiliensis (rubber tree). Lineage: Eukaryota; Viridiplantae; Streptophyta; Magnoliopsida; Malpighiales; Euphorbiaceae. The record is from RNAcentral.